Mercenaria mercenaria is the source of this 562-nucleotide long non-coding RNA. RefSeq lists it as uncharacterized. The transcript has 2 exons. NCBI's taxonomy places the organism in Eukaryota, Metazoa, Mollusca, Bivalvia, Venerida, Veneridae. The record is from RefSeq and is a predicted model, not a curated record.
UGUAAAUGUAAAACUAUAAUCAUAUUGAAAUCAAAAGAAAAGGUCUUUUUCAAUGUUUUCAUAUUAAAAUUUCAUAAAAAUAAUAAAUCAUAAAUUUAGGGAUCUAACUCUAAAUAAUGGGUCUUUUUGUUCAUUAAAUAAAUUUCUAACACAAUAUACUAAAAUGAAAUUGUCAUAAAAUGUUGCUCAAAUGUGAUUGACCAUCUUUAAAGUUCAGAACAUAUCAGUUCACAAAUAACUUAACCGACAUCUAGUAUACAAAUAUUUUACGGUAAGCGACCCAAAGUAGUAAAAUUUCAUAUCCUUUCAUUAAUUUCUUUUCUGUACAUGAGGGAUCGAAAAUGACGUAUAGCCAAUAAGCAUAGACCGAACGUCAGAAGAUAUAGCGAUACUCAUAAUUCUCUUUUCAAUGUCUUAGUCUAAUUUAGUAUCAUGAUUAGUGAUUUUGAUAAAGAAUAAAGGUAGUACUGCUGUCUUUUCUGUUAUCUAAAGCAUAUUAAAUUUCUCCCCACCCUUAUCCCACCAAAAAGUAAAAAUACAACAACAAUAAAAUAAAAAAAAA